Molecule: ribosomal RNA, 495 nt
Filed under: uncultured bacterium
Lineage: Bacteria
Description: partial 16S ribosomal RNA
Rfam family: Bacterial small subunit ribosomal RNA
Source: RNAcentral
GACGAACGCUGGCGGCGUGCCUAAUACAUGCAAGUAGAACGCUGAAGGAGGAGCUUGCUUCUCCGGAUGAGUUGCGAACGGGUGAGUAACGCGUAGGUAACCUGCCUGGUAGCGGGGGAUAACUAUUGGAAACGAUAGCUAAUACCGCAUAACAGUAGAUAUUGCAUGAUAUCUUCUUGAAAGUUGCAAUUGCAUCACUACCAGAUGGACCUGCGUUGUAUUAGCUAGUUGGUGGGGUAACGGCUCACCAAGGCGACGAUACAUAGCCGAACGGAGAGGGUGAACGGCCAAACUGGGAAUGAGACAAGGCACAGACGCAUACGGGAGGCAGCAGUAGGGAAACUGCGGCAAUGGACGGAAGUCUGACCGAGCAACGACGAGUGAGUGAAGAAGGUUUUCGGAUCGUAAAGCUCUGUUGUAAGAGAAGAACGAGUGUGAGAGUGGAAAGUUCACAGUGUGACGGUAUCUUACCAGAAAGGGACGGCUAACUACGUG